UACGGGAGGUGCAAGCGUUAAUCGGAGUUACUGGGCGUAAAGGGUGCGUAGGUGGUGUAGAAAGUCAGAUGUGAAAUCCCCGGGCUUAACCUGGGAACUGCAUUUGAAACUUCUAUACUAGAGUACGAUAGAGGAAAGCAGAAUUUCGGGUGUAGUAGUGAAAUACGCAGAUAUCCGAAGGAAUACCAAUGGCGAAGGCAGCUUUCUGGGUCGAUACUGACACUGAGGCACGAAAGCGUGGGGAGCAAACAGG
This 253-nucleotide ribosomal RNA is filed under the name uncultured bacterium. RNAcentral's name for it is "partial 16S ribosomal RNA". It matches the Rfam family "Bacterial small subunit ribosomal RNA", at positions 524 to 776 of the family's 1533-position model. The record is from RNAcentral.